This 299-nucleotide unclassified non-coding RNA is filed under the name Conidiobolus coronatus. RNAcentral's name for it is "partial internal transcribed spacer region". The stretch from base 1 to 46 matches the Rfam family "Eukaryotic small subunit ribosomal RNA", at positions 1786 to 1831 of the family's 1831-position model. Lineage: Eukaryota; Fungi; Entomophthoromycota; Entomophthoromycetes; Entomophthorales; Conidiobolaceae. The record is from RNAcentral.
AAGUCGUAACAAGGUUUCCGUAGGUGAACCUGCGGAAGGAUCAUUAAUUAUAUGUAAUUAUUAUGAUUAUAUUUAAUUAGCCACGUAACUUUAAGUAUUAGAUUAAGCUUCGGCUUAUGAUGAUGCUAUAAGUUUAAUGGCAUUCUUCUCUUUAGUUUCAAUCUCUGAUUGAAGCGAUAAUUCAGGCCUAAAAACCUGAAUCUUAAUCAAUGUUAAAUUAUAAUUUAAUCAAAACUAUAUUCUAACUAUUAAUUAAUUUUAAUUUUUUAAUAACUAAUAACAAUGGAUCUCUUGGCACU